RNAcentral lists this ribosomal RNA (253 nucleotides) under uncultured bacterium. RNAcentral describes it as "partial 16S ribosomal RNA". It matches the Rfam family "Bacterial small subunit ribosomal RNA", at positions 524 to 776 of the family's 1533-position model. The record is from RNAcentral.
UACGUAGGUGGCAAGCGUUAUUCGGAUUUAUUGGGCGUAAAGGGAACGCAGGCGGUCUUUUAAGUCUGAUGUGAAAGCCUUCGGCUUAACCGGAGUAGUGCAUUGGAAACUGGGAGACUUGAGUGCAGAAGAGGAGAGUGGAACUCCAUGUGUAGCGGUGAAAUGCGUAGAUAUAUGGAAGAACACCAGUGGCGAAAGCGGCUCUCUGGUCUGUAACUGACGCUGAGGUUCGAAAGCGUGGGUAGCAAACAGG